RNAcentral lists this ribosomal RNA (381 nucleotides) under uncultured bacterium. RNAcentral describes it as "bacterial SSU rRNA". It matches the Rfam family "Bacterial small subunit ribosomal RNA", at positions 30 to 409 of the family's 1533-position model. The record is from RNAcentral.
AUUGAACGCUGGCGGCAGGCCUAACACAUGCAAGUCGAGCGGAUGAGUGGAGCUUGCUCCAUGAUUCAGCGGCGGACGGGUGAGUAAUGCCUAGGAAUCUGCCUGGUAGUGGGGGACAACGUUUCGAAAGGAACGCUAAUACCGCAUACGUCCUACGGGAGAAAGCAGGGGACCUUCGGGCCUUGCGCUAUCAGAUGAGCCUAGGUCGGAUUAGCUAGUAGGUGAGGUAAUGGCUCACCUAGGCGACGAUCCGUAACUGGUCUGAGAGGAUGAUCAGUCACACUGGAACUGAGACACGGUCCAGACUCCUACGGGAGGCAGCAGUGGGGAAUAUUGGACAAUGGGCGAAAGACCGUGAUCCAGCCAUGCCGCGUGUGUGAA